This is a non-coding RNA of Miniopterus natalensis, 702 nucleotides long. The record is from the annotation of a RefSeq genome assembly. NCBI's taxonomy places the organism in Eukaryota, Metazoa, Chordata, Mammalia, Chiroptera, Miniopteridae.
AUGGCCUGGACCCCUCUCCUCCUGGGCCUCCUGGCUCACUGCACAGGCUCUGUGGCCUCCUAUGAGCUGACACAGCCAUCCUCGGUCUCCGUGAGCCUCGGACAGACGGCCAGGAUCUCCUGCGGUGGAAACAGCAUUGGAAGUAAAAAUGCUCAGUGGUACCAGCAGAAGCCAGGCCAGGCCCCCGUGCUGGUCAUCUAUUAUGAUAACAAACGACCCUCAGGGAUCCCUGACCGAUUCUCAGGCUCCAACUCGGGGAACACGGCCACCCUGACCAUCAGCGGGGUGCAGGCCCAGGACGAGGCCGACUAUUACUGCUGGUCCUCCCAGGUCUCGCUGUGUGUUGUGUUCGGCGGAGGGACCCAGCUGACCGUCCUAGGUCAGCCCAAGUCCGCACCCUCAGUCACUCUGUUCCCGCCAUCCAGUGAGGAGCUUGACAAGAACAAGGCCACACUGGUGUGUCUGGUCAGUGACUUCUACCCCGGCAGCGUGACGGUGGCCUGGAAGGCAAAUGGCAAGCCUGUCACCCAGGGCGUGGAGACCACCAAGGCCUCGAAACAGAGCAACAACAAGUACGCGGCCAGCAGCUACCUGAGCCUGCGCUCGAAAGCAGAGUGGAGCUCUGUCAGCAGCUUCAGCUGCCAGGUCACGCACGACGGCAACACUGUGGAGAAGACAGUGGUCCCCUCAGAGUGUUCGUAG